Chionomys nivalis (European snow vole) is the source of this 413-nucleotide long non-coding RNA. RefSeq lists it as uncharacterized. NCBI's taxonomy places the organism in Eukaryota, Metazoa, Chordata, Mammalia, Rodentia, Cricetidae. The record is from RefSeq and is a predicted model, not a curated record. The transcript is spliced from 4 exons.
AUGAAUGAGAGAUCUUGUUCUGUUGGGACUGAGAAAAAACUAUGAGAUGGACAGGUGGAAAGUGUCUCUGCUGGGCACUCCUCAUUGUACAAGGACAGUGGCUCACUCAUGACUUUCAGAGGAGUUCCGAUCUCAGAGCUGAAGAACCAUGGCAUUCUCCAGGCCCUGACCACAGAAACCAAUGGAUGGCAGCCAGGUGGAACCACCUGAACUGGUUCUCCUGACCUUUUCUAAUGCCAGGAUUGGGAACAUGGAUCUUUCCAGAAUGUGUGCCCUGGUCGAAGCUUUUGUCUGGAGUUGUAUUCUCGACUGGAUUCCUUGGCUUCAUCAUUCAGGCCACACUCCGUCUGCCUCUGCCUUCAUCAUGUCCUCUGUGUUCCAGCUUCUCCUGGUUCUCUUGGUUAGUUUUCCUC